GCGGGUGUAGCUCAAUGGUAGAGCAGUAGCUUCCCAAGCUAACGACGAGGGUUCGAUUCCCUUCACCCGCUCCA
Molecule: transfer RNA, 74 nt
Filed under: Pseudovibrio exalbescens
Lineage: Bacteria; Pseudomonadati; Pseudomonadota; Alphaproteobacteria; Hyphomicrobiales; Stappiaceae
Also listed under: 22 other names
Description: tRNA-Gly
Rfam family: tRNA
About the family: Transfer RNA (tRNA) molecules are approximately 80 nucleotides in length. Their secondary structure includes four short double-helical elements and three loops (D, anti-codon, and T loops).
Source: RNAcentral